GAUGAAGAACGUAGCAAAAUGCGAUAAGUAAUGUGAAUUGCAGAAUUCAGUGAAUCAUCGAAUCUUUGAACGCACAUUGCGCCCGCUGGUAUUCCGGCGGGCAUGCCUGUUCGAGCGUCAUUUCAACCCUCAUGCCCCUAGGGCGUGGUGUUGGGGAUCGGCCAAAGCCCGCGAGGGACGGCCGGCCCCUAAAUCUAGUGGCGGACCCGUCGUGGCCUCCUCUGCGAAGUAGUGAUAUUCCGCAUCGGAGAGCGAUGAGCCCCUGCCGUUAAACCCCCAACUUUCCAAGGUUGACCUCAGAUCAGGUAGGAAUACCCGCUGAACUUAAGCAUAUCAAUAAGCGGAGGA
Molecule: unclassified non-coding RNA, 348 nt
Filed under: soil metagenome
Description: partial contains 5.8S ribosomal RNA, internal transcribed spacer 2, and large subunit ribosomal RNA
Rfam family: 5.8S ribosomal RNA (bases 1-120)
Source: RNAcentral